RNAcentral lists this unclassified non-coding RNA (2894 nucleotides) under Trichogramma pretiosum. RNAcentral describes it as "1-acyl-sn-glycerol-3-phosphate acyltransferase alpha, transcript variant X1". The record is from RNAcentral. Lineage: Eukaryota; Metazoa; Arthropoda; Insecta; Hymenoptera; Trichogrammatidae.
AUGCUACUCGUCGGCAGGCGCGAAAAUAAAUAUUAAUCCAGCCGUUGGUGCAGGGCCGUCGUCCGUCUGUUAUAACGAGUCGCGCGUUUAAAUAGUAUACGAACGAGCGUGUCGUGCAAACGACAAAAGGACGACGAGUGGGGGAGUGUGCGGAUGUGUAUCGUAUAUAUAUACAGUAGUGGCUGCGAUAUACAUUAAACAAGAGUUUUACGACUCUGCGCGCAAAGCUGUUUAAAAUUCCUUAGACGCCCGUGUGUGCGUUUGUGCUUGUGUAUAUAUAUAAGAGAGAGAGAGAGAGUAGUAACUCAUUAGUGCAGCUAUACCCAGUGCAGCUGCCGCUCGCGAACAACUGCAAAGACAGCGAAUAGAGGAGAGCCUGCGGCGAAAAGUUCACCAAAUAUAGUUUAUAUACCUAUAUAGGUGCGUUAUACAGUACCUUCCGCGGCGGCAACAACUGCCUCUGCCGCUGUUGCGCGUCAGUCUUCUGCUGCUGCCACUGCUGCUUGCAGCGUAAAUGUGCAGUAGGGUAUACUUACUACCUUGUUGCACACUCGCGUAUACACAGGGCAGUUCUUCGUAUAUACAUCACUGUGUCAGCAGUGUAUCCUCUCGCAGUCCUUGGAGAGCCAUGGAUAUCGCGUGCACGAGCUUGUCGUGAUGUAAAGUCGAGGGUUCGUAUAUAUUUCGGAGCUUCGGCAUCGUCCCACACUCGAAUACGAUAUACGGAGCACGAGACAGCAUUGUAAUAAUAACAACGAUACUUAAGGACGGCUCGUGCGUCGAGGUAUCAUGUUUAUCGAGCGCAUCGGCGAACGGGGCGCAGAAAGGGAAGAUAAUAGAUAAAUAUAUUGCGUAAAAAGCUGUGCCAGCAGCAGCAGCAGCAGCAGCAGCGGAGCAUUGUCUCGACGCCUCCGCGUUUAUACAUUAGUCAUCCGCGCCACCGGAUCAUUGUUGCUGCGUCCGCAUAUCUAAUGUGCGUGUAGUGCGAAACACGCUAUCAGCUUAUUCUCAUGUACGCCCUAUACGUUCGACGAGCCUUUGAAUGAUCGAACGACACCACCACGGAGUCGAAUCGGAGUCUGCGGCAAGUGGCAAUUGAUGAUCAGCAACAACGAGGUCGACGCUCCUCGUUAUAAAGCAAACGCACGCAAUCGAGAGGAGAAGAAGAAGAAGAAGAAAAUAUAUAUAUAAAAAAACGCACUGACGCACAGAGACGCACACAGUAGUGCCAGGGCGCAGAGAUUUCCGUCGUUCGUUCGCCGGUGCUGUGUAUUAUUAUUGAUGUAUCUCUCAUCGUCACGCGACGACAGUAUCUUGCCGAGUAAUAUAUAAAAGCACACAUAUCGAGCGACUGUCUCGCCCGCUGAUCGGCGUCGCAUUCAUCGUUCUAGUCAGUGCUUUGGGAGUCCGAUUAUAAAAUAAAUAUACACACACACACAUACACGGACACAUAUAUACGAACGCGCGCUUUAUGGAAGUACGUCAAUUGAUCGAAAUGACGGAGGGCAUGCCGUCAUUUUGAGAGAGAGAGAACCAACGGACAAGCCUACAUCUGCAAACGCUCUCGGGAGCUUUUUCCAAUUAGUGAGAAUUUAAUACUCGUAUAUUAAGCCUUUAAAAAUAGCAUCGAUCCGUUGCUUCUGUGCAGUUAUUAUUGCUUGUUUUAAAAGAGCGACGAGUGUGUUUGUGAUGGCAAUCAUGACACCACCUCUGUCCUUCGAAGUCCUUCUCGUGGCUUUUUUACUGAUAUUGCCUUUCCUUUACGAGGCCAAUAGAGCUUUCAGGUAUUACUUCAAGUUUUUGAUCUACUAUGGAGUCACUAUGGUAUAUGCUGUUAUUCUCAUCCCUAUCAUGAUGUUCCGUCCGAAAAAUGUGAGGAAUUUAGUAUUGGCAUCUUCUAUUUGUCGUUAUACCAGUAGUUUGCUAGGAAUUAGGUGGCAAUUGAGAGGUCAAGAGCAUUUAGAGAAAGAGAGAGCUUGCAUCAUUGUAGCUAAUCAUCAAAGCUCGCUAGAUAUACAAGGCAUGUUUGACAUAUGGCCAAUCAUGGAUAAAUGUACUGUAGUAGCUAAGAAGGAGAUUUUUUAUGUUUGGCCCUUCGGUCUUGCAGCUUGGCUCUGCGGGCUUAUUUUUAUUGAUAGAAUGCAAUCAGAUAAAGCAAGAGAUACUAUCAAUACAGCUGUUGAGCAUUUGAAGGAGAAUAAGAUCAAAUUAUGGAUCUUCCCUGAAGGCACAAGACGAAACACUGGUGAAAUACAUCCUUUCAAGAAAGGAGCUUUUCAUGUGGCCAUUAAUGCCCAGUUACCAAUUUUACCUGUUGUAUAUUCUUCAUAUUACUUCAUGUCAAAGAAAGAAAAAAGAUUAGAUUCUGGUCGGGUAAUUAUAACUACUCUACCUCCCAUUUCAACAGAAGGAAUGGAUGUGAAUGAUGUUCCUAAAUUAAUGGAAAAAACGAGAGAAUUAAUGACUCAAACUUUUCAUGCAACGAAUCAUGAAAUACAGCUAUCAAUGACCGCUAAAAAACAAAUUGAUCGAUAAUUUUAAGAUUUUAUGAAUUUAGUAAUUUAGUUUACAGCUUUCGUCAUAUAGGAAAAUAACAUAAAGCCAGAACACAUUUUUCUGGUUUUCAAGCAUAAUUCCCAGAGUACCUUUUUUGAAGAAAAAAAAUAGACACAAAAAAGUGUAAGGUUUAAAAACGUCAACUAGUCCUCCAAAACUCUAUUCCAGUGUGGUAUACCAGUUUGUAAGAGAUUUAUUUUUCUAAAAGCAUAAUAUUUGUUAAUAAGUUUUUCAAUGAAACAAAAUCACUUAUAAUUCAAGUCCAUUAUUUUUAAUUAUUUUUAUCAUUUCAGUUUCAAGUCUGACUAAAUAUUGUUAAAAAUGUACUACAUCCUUAA